RNAcentral lists this long non-coding RNA (384 nucleotides) under Solanum tuberosum (potato). RNAcentral's name for it is "long non-coding RNA (STUB_LNC011594)". Lineage: Eukaryota; Viridiplantae; Streptophyta; Magnoliopsida; Solanales; Solanaceae. The record is from RNAcentral.
CGGGGAUAUAGAAAGGCAUAUUAGCUAUGAAUCUCAAAGGAAAGCAAAAGACUUGAGGAGGGGAGUGACAAAAUAAUGAGGAACAAUCUUGAUCAUAAUACAUUGACGCUAGGUGCAAAAGAAUGGAGAAGUAACAAAAUAAUGCAAAACAAACUUGAUCAUAAUACAUUGACGCUAGGUGCAAAAGAAUGGAGAAGUAACAAAAUAAUGCGAAACAAACUUGAACAUAAUACAUAAAAACUAAGUGUCAUCAACUAUACUUAACAUCAUUGUAGUUGUUGAAUAAAUGGAACAAAAUGCCCUCAAGGCCUAGCUCGAGUGGCAAAAGGUGGAGGAUUUGUGGCUUAGGUCACAUGUUCAAGCCCCACACCAUGCAAAGCGAAG